CUCUUGUUGCCCAGGCUAGAGUGCAAUGGCACGAUCUUGGCUCACUGCAACCUCCGCCUCCCCCUCCGGGAUCUUUUUGUUCCUUAGUUGUCUUAUCUGCAAAAUGGGAAACAGGUUGAGUACCCUUCAUCCGAAAUGCUUGGGACUUGGAAGUAUUCUGGAUUUCGGAUUUUUUUUUCAGGUUUUGGGAUAUUUGCAUUAUACUUAAUGAUUAAGCCUCUCAAAUCCGAAAAUCUAAAAUUCAAAAUGCUCCAAUUAGCAUUUCCUUUGACCAUCCUGUCAGUGCUCAAAAAGUUUUAAAUUUUGGAGGAUUUUGGAUUUCUGGAUUAAGGAUACUCAACCUGUAAUAACGGCACCUACCUCACACAGGUGUGACAAAGAUUAGUUAAUACACGUAAAACACUUGGAACAGUUACAGGCUUAGUAAACACUUCAUAAAUCUUGGCUAUUCAAAGUCAUUAACGGAGAGUUACUACUGAGUCUUUUUUCCUAUGCAGAUCCCAGGUUUUCAUACUUACUAUGAAAAAACCUCAUGGGAAAAGUAUUAAUUCUCUCCAUCUAACAGAGUCAGCAAGCUCCCACAGGAGAAAGAAUCUGUUCAGGAGGAGGGCCAGUGCCUUCUAUUAAGCACUUUACACUUUCCUUUUUUUUUUUUUUUUGAGACGGAUUCUCGCUGUCACCCAGGCUGAAGUGCAGUGGCGCGAUCUCGGCUCACUGCAAGCUCUGCCUCCUGGGUUCACGCCAUUCUCCCGCCUCAGCCUCCCGAGUAGCUGGGACUACAGGCGCCCGCCACCACACCCGGCUAAUUUUUUGUAUUUUUUA
Molecule: long non-coding RNA, 822 nt
Filed under: Homo sapiens (human)
Lineage: Eukaryota; Metazoa; Chordata; Mammalia; Primates; Hominidae
Description: HSALNT0164207
Source: RNAcentral